CCCUUAGAUGUCCGGGGCCGCACGCGCGCUACACUGAAGGAAUCAGCGUGGCUUUCUCCCUGACCCGAAAGGGUUGGGAAACCCGUUGAAUCUCCUUCGUGAUAGGGAUUGGGGCUUGAAAUUGUUCCCCAUGAACGAGGAAUUCCCAGUAAGCGCGAGUCAUAAGCUCGCGUUGAUUACGUCCCUGCCCUUUGUACACACCGCCCGUCGCUACUACCGAUUGAACGGUUUAGUGAGGGCCUCGGAUUGGUCCCGGCCCGCUCUUUACCGGGCGGCGCCGUUGGUCGAGAAGACGCUCGAACUUGAUCGUUUAGAGGAAGUAAAAGUCGUAACA
Molecule: ribosomal RNA, 334 nt
Filed under: uncultured eukaryote
Lineage: Eukaryota
Description: partial 18S ribosomal RNA
Rfam family: Eukaryotic small subunit ribosomal RNA
Source: RNAcentral